RNAcentral lists this ribosomal RNA (381 nucleotides) under uncultured eukaryote. RNAcentral's name for it is "SSU rRNA". It matches the Rfam family "Eukaryotic small subunit ribosomal RNA", at positions 171 to 549 of the family's 1831-position model. The record is from RNAcentral.
AUGCGAAAAGACCCGACUUUCGAGGAAGGGUUGCAUUUAUUAGAUACAAAACCAAUGCGGGGCAACCCGGUUGUUGGUGAUUCAUAAUAACUUUUGCGGAUCGCAUGGCCUUGUGCCGGCGACGAAUCAUUCAAAUUUCUGCCCUAUCAACUUUCGAUGGUAAGGUAUUGGCUUACUAUGGUGACCACGGGUAACGGGGAAUUAGGGUUCGGUUCCGGAGAGGGCGCCUGAGAGAUGGCGACCACAUCCAAGGAAGGCAGCAGGCGCGCAAAUUACCCAAUCCUGAUACAGGGAGGUAGUGACAAUAAAUAACAAUGCAGAGUCCUUUUGGGCUUUGUAAUUGGAAUGAGUACAAUUUAAAUCUCUUAACGAGAGCCCAUU